This 404-nucleotide long non-coding RNA is filed under the name Pan troglodytes (chimpanzee). Its description in RNAcentral is "long non-coding RNA NONPTRT003416". Lineage: Eukaryota; Metazoa; Chordata; Mammalia; Primates; Hominidae. The record is from RNAcentral.
UAGUUUUCUAGAACAUCAAACACAUGCAUAUUCAUCAGCUGCUAUCUAUAUUAGAUUAUCCACGCUUCUGCCUUCUUACAUCAGAGUUGCCCCGGGAAGUCUGAAUUUUCUGGCAAAGUAAGUGUGUGCAGAGCUAGCAGAUACUACUUAAGGCUGACAAACACACUUUGUCAGGGAUUGAAUUGGGCAAGCCAUAUGAAGUUUAGAAAAGGCAUAAUGACUUUAGAUUAACUGGCCAGAAUUGUGGUUUCCAGAGUCUUGGGAAUUCUGAUCCAAAUGUCUUUAGUUAAUUAAACAACCAGUAGGAUAAUCAUGCAAAGAGCAUGGAUUUUGAAAUCAGAGAGGCUUGGAUUCCAACUCCAAUUCUGUCUCAGAUCUGCUUUAAUUCCUUCAUUCUACAAGUA